This 253-nucleotide ribosomal RNA is filed under the name uncultured bacterium. Its description in RNAcentral is "partial 16S ribosomal RNA". It matches the Rfam family "Bacterial small subunit ribosomal RNA", at positions 524 to 776 of the family's 1533-position model. The record is from RNAcentral.
UACGGAGGGUGCAAGCGUUAAUCGGAAUUACUGGGCGUAAAGCGCGCGUAGGCGGUUGGGUAAGUCAGAUGUGAAAGCCCCGGGCUUAACCUGGGAACUGCAUUUGAUACUGUCUGACUCGAGUAUGGUAGAGGGGGGUGGAAUUCCCGGUGUAGCGGUGAAAUGCGUAGAGAUCGGGAGGAACACCGAUGGCGAAGGCGGCCCCCUGGGUCGACACUGACGCUCAUGCACGAAAGCGUGGGGAGCAAACAGG